GCCACUGGCUUUCCUCCUCCGAUGAGGGCAUCACUGCCAGAAACCAUCUGGCGAAGUGGAUAAUAAGAUGAUGAAAACACAAUAAAAGCGAACAUAUCUCGUCGAUUAUAUUCUCUGACGCAUCCUCUCCGUUUGUUUAUCGUUCGAUAGGUCGUCUCCCGAUAUGUCAUGCUGCACAUCAACGCAGAUAAGAUAAAAUGAAUUCGAGCCGAGAGAUAAAGGAGAAUCGGUGGUGAUAAUACUGACAUUUGAGAGACAAGCAAAUCCGGAAGCCGAAUGGAAGGCAGAAUUAAGAGCAAUACGAAACAUCGAAAUUUGUUGCAGUUCUUCGAUUCAUGCAACUUACGAUGGACAUAGCGGUCUUGCUUACCGUUGACCUUACUCAAAGAAACCGGAGAACCACUUUCGCGUGCACUUAUAUUUCGCAGCGGUAAUUCAACAUUUAUGAGCCCGCAUUGAAGCACGCGGAGGUCACGCGUUUUACCAAGGCUGAUUAACUCCCGGAAUUAAUGCAAGACCUACUAGGGUAACGCGCAUAUUAUACAAAGGCUCUCUUUCACGUGUUCAUACAUACUAAUUCAUCGAUCUAUAUGUAUGUAGUAACACAACUUUCUGUAUAGCGCAUAUAUAUAUACAGGAAAAUUCUGCGAUUAUUUAUACAAAGUUUACGAAAGAGUUGCAGAAAAAAUAGACAUGAUGAAACUCACAAAUUUAUGUAAAAACUAAUAGCAGAAAAUUCUUAACACGUAACCAGACAUUAUAAAGUACGUAAAAUUUCAAAAAUAUUGCAAUGUCUUAUCUCAAAUUUUAACUUUUAAAUUUUUAUUAACGUUCUGUCGUGUUGUUGUUUACAGUCGUCUUCGUCAAUAUUAUCUCAUUAUAAAAAAGUGCAAAUUUACAUGAAUAAUUCCCGAUUAUUAAGGAUAAGAAAAAACUGCGUCAUCAAAUUGCAAAAAAGAAAGAAGCGUUAAAAUUAUAUUCUUCCUUUGUCAAUAGACGUUAAUCUUCCCGGAUAGAAAGAUGCGCAUGCGAUUCGAUUUCUGCAAUUUUCAUGUCAUAUUCUCACAAUUAAUUACGUUUUUCAAACGUUCAAUGUUGGCUUUUUAUUGUCGCGGGCGCGAUCAUAUACGUACGCGAUUUAUCGAUCCGAAACCGAUUACGCGGCUCCGUAGUCACCGUAUAUAUACAUUUUCCGAACUUCAAAGUAUAUACAUAUAGAUGCAUAGACUUGAGUUGCGAGUAUGUAAAUACCGUGUGUAUAUACACGUGCACGUGUCAAUCUGGUAUUCGCUAAUGUCGCCGACAAUCACAUCCGCGUCAUGGCUCACGUUUUCGCAGUCUUCUAUUUUCUCAUCGUUAGUUAUUUUUGAAACGCGACCGAAUACGUACAGUAGAGCGACCGACGACAAAAGACAUUAGCGUUUUGUUUCAUAUUUGCCUCUUUUUAUACAUAUUUCUCGCAUCGGAAUAAAGAAAAUGAGUUGGAUGCGUCGAUUAAUUUUCGUGGCUCGUCAGGCUAUUGAUGAAAAUCCAAUCAAUGCGGCAAAGAUGAUUUUCACUUUGAGCACUCUAGGAUGAGAUUAUUUUCUGUAAGAGGCUGUUGUUUUAUUCAGCAUCGUGAGACGCGGCGCACUUCUUUGCCAACAACUGCAGUCGAUCACUCAUCACAAAGUCACCCUCGCGUUCUUACAUACGACAUACGUCAGCAACAGCACAAGAGUGUGAAUAUAAUCGAACGCGCGAAUAAAUUUACGUAACAAUGUCGUACGGCGAUUUCGUACGAGGAUAGACAGGCGUACGGAUGAUCCGUUGAUUAACAAUACCAAUGACUAGCGAUUUCGUCGUGGAGAGAUUAAUGUCAGAAUUUAAUUUGAAUAUUUACAUACGGAUAAUAUACAUAGAUAUGGAGAGUAUGUAUUAAUAAUGUAAGAGUAUAUAUUAAAACAUCACGAUAUCUCAAAAUCACACCAUUAUCUUUUCUAAUCAAGUUAAUAUCUUUGAUAUUUUUCAAUAAAAUGUUUCUCUCUUUCUC
Long non-coding RNA from Cataglyphis hispanica, 2032 nucleotides. RefSeq lists it as uncharacterized. The transcript has 4 exons. NCBI's taxonomy places the organism in Eukaryota, Metazoa, Arthropoda, Insecta, Hymenoptera, Formicidae. The record is from RefSeq and is a predicted model, not a curated record.